AGUCGAGCGGACAGAUGGGAGCUUGCUCCCUGAUGUUAGCGGCGGACGGGUGAGUAACACGUGGGUAACCUGCCUGUAAGACUGGGAUAACUCCGGGAAACCGGGGCUAAUACCGGAUGGUUGUCUGAACCGCAUGGUUCAGACAUAAAAGGUGGCUUCGGCUACCACUUACAGAUGGACCCGCGGCGCAUUAGCUAGUUGGUGAGGUAACGGCUCACCAAGGCGACGAUGCGUAGCCGACCUGAGAGGGUGAUCGGCCACACUGGGACUGAGACACGGCCCAGACUCCUACGGGAGGCAGCAGUAGGGAAUCUUCCGCAAUGGACGAAAGUCUGACGGAGCAACGCCGCGUGAGUGAUGAAGGUUUUCGGAUCGUAAAGCUCUGUUGUUAGGGAAGAACAAGUGCCGUUCAAAUAGGGCGGCACCUUGACGGUACCUAACCAGAAAGCCACGGCUAACUACGUGCCAGCAGCCGCGGUAAUACGUAGGUGGCAAGCGUUGUCCGGAAUUAUUGGGCGUAAAGGGCUCGCAGGCGGUUUCUUAAGUCUGAUGUGAAAGCCCCCGGCUCAACCGGGGAGGGUCAUUGGAAACUGGGGAACUUGAGUGCAGAAGAGGAGAGUGGAAUUCCACGUGUAGCGGUGAAAUGCGUAGAGAUGUGGAGGAACACCAGUGGCGAAGGCGACUCUCUGGUCUGUAACUGACGCUGAGGAGCGAAAGCGUGGGGAGCGAACAGGAUUAGAUACCCUGGUAGUCCACGCCGUACACGAUGAGUGCUAAGUGUUAGGGGGUUUCCGCCCCUU
RNAcentral lists this ribosomal RNA (800 nucleotides) under Bacillus velezensis. RNAcentral describes it as "bacterial SSU rRNA". It matches the Rfam family "Bacterial small subunit ribosomal RNA", at positions 60 to 841 of the family's 1533-position model. Lineage: Bacteria; Bacillati; Bacillota; Bacilli; Caryophanales; Bacillaceae. The record is from RNAcentral.